GACGAACGCUGGCGGCGUGCUUAACACAUGCAAGUCGAACGGAAAGGCCCUGCUUUUGUGGGGUGCUCGAGUGGCGAACGGGUGAGUAACACGUGAGUAACCUGCCCUUGACUUUGGGAUAACUUCAGGAAACUGGGGCUAAUACCGGAUAGGAUCUCCUGCUGCAUGGUGGGGAUUGGAACGUUUAGGCGUUUGGGGAUGGACUCGCGGGUUAUGAGCUAGUUGGUGGGGUAGUGGCUUACCAAGGCUUUGACGGGUCGCCGGCCUGAGAGGGUGAACGGCCACAUUGGGACUGAGAGACGGACCAGACUCCUACGGGAGGCAGUAGGGGGGAAUAUGGCACAAUGGGCGGAAGCCUGAGGCAGAAACGCCGCGGGCGGGAUGACGGCUUUCGGGUUGAAAACAGCUUUCGCCUGUGACGAAGCGUGAGUGACGGUAAUGGGUAAAGAAGCACCGGCUAACUACGUG
This 468-nucleotide ribosomal RNA is filed under the name uncultured bacterium. Its description in RNAcentral is "partial 16S ribosomal RNA". It matches the Rfam family "Bacterial small subunit ribosomal RNA", at positions 28 to 507 of the family's 1533-position model. The record is from RNAcentral.